UCGGAUUUCGUUAUACAGAUUGACGUCCAUAUGCAGCUAGACUUUAGGUUGUUGACGCUACUUGUCUCCCGCACACGAGACUUGUAGGUUGUUACCAGGACUUAUAUCUCACAUACGAUACUUGUAGGUUGUUACCAGGACUUAUAUCUCACAUACAAGACUUGUAGGUUGUUAUCGGGUCUUAUAUCUCACAUACGAUACUUGUAGGUUGUUACCAGGACUUAUAUCUCACAUACAAGACUUGUAGGUUGUUAUCGGGUCUUAUAUCUCACAUACGAUACUUGUAGGUUGUUACCAGGACUUAUAUCUCACAUACAAGACUUGUAGGUUGUUAUCAGGUCUUAUAUCUCACAUACGAUACUUGUAGGUUGUUACCAGGACUUAUAUCUCACACACAAGACUUGUAGGUUGUUAUCAGGUUGCAAUGGGACCUGAUCUCCUACAGAUAACGA
This is a long non-coding RNA of Haliotis rubra (blacklip abalone), 452 nucleotides long. RefSeq lists it as uncharacterized. The transcript is spliced from 3 exons. The record is from RefSeq and is a predicted model, not a curated record. Lineage: Eukaryota; Metazoa; Mollusca; Gastropoda; Lepetellida; Haliotidae.